This 1185-nucleotide ribosomal RNA is filed under the name uncultured bacterium. RNAcentral describes it as "bacterial SSU rRNA". It matches the Rfam family "Bacterial small subunit ribosomal RNA", at positions 196 to 1399 of the family's 1533-position model. The record is from RNAcentral.
CAGCAAAAAAAGGAGCAACCCGCAAAGAGAGGGGCCCGCGGCGCAACAGCGAGGGGGAGAGGUAACGGCUCACCAAGGCGACGAUGCGUAGCCGACCUGAGAGGGUGAUCGGCCACAUUGGGACUGAGACACGGCCCAGACUCCUACGGGAGGCAGCAGUGGGGAAUAUUGCACAAUGGGGGAAACCCUGAUGCAGCAACGCCGCGUGAGUGAUGACGGCCUUCGGGUUGUAAAGCUCUGUCUUCAGGGACGAUAAUGACGGUACCUGAGGAGGAAGCCACGGCUAACUACGUGCCAGCAGCCGCGGUAAUACGUAGGUGGCGAGCGUUGUCCGGAUUUACUGGGCGUAAAGGGAGCGUAGGCGGAUUUUUAAGUGAGAUGUGAAAUACUCGGGCUUAACCUGAGUGCUGCAUUUCAAACUGGAAGUCUAGAGUGCAGGAGAGGAGAAGGGAAUUCCUAGUGUAGCGGUGAAAUGCGUAGAGAUUAGGAAGAAUACCAGUGGCGAAGGCGCUUCUCUGGACGAUAACUGACGCUGAGGCGCGAAAGCGUGGGGAGCAAACAGGAUUAGAUACCCUGGUAGUCCACGCCAUAAACGAUGGAUACUAGGUGUGGGAGGUAUCGAACCCUUCCGUGCCGCAGUAAACGCAAUAAGUAUCCACCUGGGGAGUACGACCGCAAGGUUGAAACUCAAAGGAAUUGACGGGGGCCCGCACAAGCGGAGGAACAUGUGGUUUAAUUCGAUGAUACGCGAGGAACCUUACCCGGGCUCGAACGGUGCAUGAAUAUACGAGAGAUUGUAUAGUCCUUCGGGACAUGUAUCGAGGUGCUGCAUGGUUGUCGUCAGCUCGUGCCGUGAGGUGUCGGCUUAAGUGCCAUAACGAGCGCAACCCUUGUCAUUAGUUGCCAUCAGGUCAAGCUGGGGACUUUAAUGAGACUGCCACCGUAAGGUGUGAGGAAGGGGGGGAUGACGUCAAAUCAGCACGGCCCUUAUGUCCGGGGCGACACACGUGUUACAAUGGGAGGUACAGAGGGCAGCUAUCCGGUGACGGAAUGCUAAUCUCCAAAACCUUUCUCAGUUCGGAUUGGAGUCUGCAACUCGACUCCAUGAAGGUGGAUUCGCUAGUAAUCGCGCAUCAGCCAUGGCGCGGUGAAUACGUUCCCGGGCCUUGCACUCACCGCCCGUCA